CCUACGCGAGGCAGCAGUGAGGAAUAUUGGUCAAUGGACGAGAGUCUGAACCAGCCACGCAGCGUGAAGGAUGACUGUUCUCUGGGUUGAAAAUUUUUUUUAUAUGGGAAUAAAAUGCUCUAUGUGAGGGAUCUUGUAUGUAUCAUAUGAAUACGGAACGGCUAAUUCCGUGCAAGCAGCCGGCGUAAUACGGAGGAUCCGAGCGUUAUCCGGAUUUAUUGGGGGUAAAGGGAGCGUAGGUGGAUUAUGAAGUCAGUUGUGAAAGUUUGCGGCUCAACCGUAAAAUUGCAGUUGAAACUGGCAGUCUUGAGUACAGUAGAGGUAGGCGGAAUUCGUGGUGUAGCGGUGAAAUGCUUAGAUAUCACGAAGAACUCCGAUUGCGAAGGCAGCUCACUGGACUGUAACUGACACUGAGGCUCGAAAGUGUGGGGAUCAAACAGGAUUAGAUACCCGAGUAGUC
This 460-nucleotide ribosomal RNA is filed under the name uncultured bacterium. RNAcentral's name for it is "partial 16S ribosomal RNA". It matches the Rfam family "Bacterial small subunit ribosomal RNA", at positions 338 to 795 of the family's 1533-position model. The record is from RNAcentral.